This 86-nucleotide small nucleolar RNA is filed under the name Erysiphe necator (grape powdery mildew). RNAcentral describes it as "Small nucleolar RNA R38". It matches the Rfam family "Small nucleolar RNA R38". Rfam says of the family: snoR38 is a C/D box small nucleolar RNA conserved across yeast, human, Arabidopsis and rice. It is encoded in the intron of elongation factor-1 gamma in both pombe and cerevisiae. snoR38 guides the methylation of 2'-O-ribose sites in 28S rRNA. Lineage: Eukaryota; Fungi; Ascomycota; Leotiomycetes; Helotiales; Erysiphaceae. The record is from Rfam by way of RNAcentral.
UUCUAGCAAUGAUGAAAAUAAAAGUCAACAGUUAUCCCUGUCUUAACACUCCGUGUGGACUUUCAUAAUUAGACUCUGAGCUAAAU